UACAGAGGGUGCGAGCGUUAAUCGGAAUUACUGGGCGUAAAGCGUGCGUAGACGGUUACGUAAGUCGGGUGUGAAAGCCCCGGGCUCAACCUGGGAAUUGCAUUCGAGACUGCGAAGCUAGGGUGCGGAAGAGGGAAGCGGAAUUUCCGGUGUAGCGGUGAAAUGCGUAGAUAUCGGAAGGAACACCAGUGGCGAAAGCGGCUCCUGGUCCAGCACCGACGUUCAGGCACG
RNAcentral lists this ribosomal RNA (231 nucleotides) under uncultured bacterium. Its description in RNAcentral is "partial 16S ribosomal RNA". It matches the Rfam family "Bacterial small subunit ribosomal RNA", at positions 524 to 755 of the family's 1533-position model. The record is from RNAcentral.